Molecule: ribosomal RNA, 506 nt
Filed under: uncultured bacterium
Lineage: Bacteria
Description: partial 16S ribosomal RNA
Rfam family: Bacterial small subunit ribosomal RNA
Source: RNAcentral
AGUGAACGCUGGCGGUAGGCCUAACACAUGCAAGUCGAACGGCAGCACAGGAGAGCUUGCUCUCUGGGUGGCGAGUGGCGGACGGGUGAGGAAUACAUCGGAAUCUACUUUUUCGUGGGGGAUAACGUAGGGAAACUUACGCUAAUACCGCAUACGACCUACGGGUGAAAGCAGGGGACCUUCGGGCCUUGCGCGAUUGAAUGAGCCGAUGUCAGAUUAGCUAGUUGGCGGGGUAAAGGCCCACCAAGGCGACGAUCCGUAGCUGGUCUGAGAGGAUGAUCAGCCACACUGGAACUGAGACACGGUCCAGACUCCUACGGGAGGCAGCAGUGGGGAAUAUUGGACAAUGGGCGCAAGCCUGAUCCAGCCAUACCGCGUGGGUGAAGAAGGCCUUCGGGUUGUAAAGCCCUUUUGUUGGGAAAGAAAUCCAGCUGGCUGAUACCCGGUUGGGAUGACGGUACCCAAAGAGUAAGCACCGGCUAACUUCGUGCCAGCAGCCGCCGCCG